Molecule: non-coding RNA, 116 nt
Filed under: Emiliania huxleyi
Lineage: Eukaryota; Haptophyta; Isochrysidales; Noelaerhabdaceae
Source: RNAcentral
GCGUCGAUCGAUCAGCCUGCGUGCCCGCUGCCGGCCGGUGUCGCGCCCAGAGGCCCGCCCCUCGUGCCGUCACGCGAGGCACGAAGAUCAGCGGAAGGGAGCAGCGAUGCUCGCGC